GCAUACAAAGAGAAGCGACCUCGCGAGAGCAAGCGGACCUCAUAAAGUGCGUCGUAGUCCGGAUUGGAGUCUGCAACUCGACUCCAUGAAGUCGGAAUCGCUAGUAAUCGUGGAUCAGAAUGCCACGGUGAAUACGUUCCCGGGCCUUGUACACACCGCCCGUCACACCAUGGGAGUGGGUUGCAAAAGAAGUAGGUAGCUUAACCUUCGGGAGGGCGCUUACCACUUUGUGAUUCAUGACUGGGGUGAAGUCGUAACAAGGUAACCGUAGGGGAACCUGCGGUUGGAUCACCUCCUUACCUUAAAGAA
RNAcentral lists this ribosomal RNA (309 nucleotides) under Salmonella enterica subsp. enterica serovar Typhimurium. RNAcentral's name for it is "partial 16S ribosomal RNA". It matches the Rfam family "Bacterial small subunit ribosomal RNA", at positions 1235 to 1533 of the family's 1533-position model. Lineage: Bacteria; Pseudomonadati; Pseudomonadota; Gammaproteobacteria; Enterobacterales; Enterobacteriaceae. The record is from RNAcentral.